Molecule: long non-coding RNA, 281 nt
Filed under: Homo sapiens (human)
Lineage: Eukaryota; Metazoa; Chordata; Mammalia; Primates; Hominidae
Description: non-protein coding lnc-THAP7-4:1
Source: RNAcentral
GUUGUGCCUCCUCCUCCAGGAGGCCCUCCCUGAUCAGCCUCCCCUCUAUUAGGGCUGAUUAUUCUGGUUCCUAACACUUGGGUGUUUCAUUGUCCUUAAUGUGUGCAUCUCUGCGUUGUAGGUAGACCUUGUCUUUCAAGCAGGCUGGAGCACAGAGGCUGUGUGGGUUCCUCCCCGGUCUGGGCCUUGCUCUCCUCUCUCGGCUGCCGCGGGCGGGGACCGAAGGUGCAGCUCGGCCUGGCGAUGCGGGGACAUGAGUAAAGGUCUGGAGGACACGGAGC